GCUGGGUGUGGGCGGCACACACCUGUAAUCCCAGCAACUCAGGAGGCUGAGGCAGGAGGAUUGCAAGUUCCACGCCAGCUGGGAAACUUAGCAAGACCCUGCCUCAA
Molecule: small RNA, 107 nt
Filed under: Marmota monax (woodchuck)
Lineage: Eukaryota; Metazoa; Chordata; Mammalia; Rodentia; Sciuridae
Source: RNAcentral